GCGGGGUUGGCGGAACUGGCAGACGCAAUGGCCUUAGGAGCCAUUGGCCGCAAGGCCGUAGGGGUUCAAAUCCCUUACCCCGCACCA
Molecule: transfer RNA, 87 nt
Filed under: Acidobacteriota bacterium
Lineage: Bacteria; Pseudomonadati; Acidobacteriota
Also listed under: 1 other name
Description: Acidobacteria bacterium tRNA-Leu
Rfam family: tRNA
About the family: Transfer RNA (tRNA) molecules are approximately 80 nucleotides in length. Their secondary structure includes four short double-helical elements and three loops (D, anti-codon, and T loops).
Source: RNAcentral